UUUAACUUUCAGGAAAAUCUGGAAGUAACCAUGACUACACAUGUUUUAAAUGUAUUCAAGCGAUUUUGUAUUUUAAUUUUUCACAAUAAAUUUUAUUAAUUUUUCUUGUUUGAUUAAUCUUGAUUAGUUUGAUUUCUUGUUUGAUUAGUCCUAUCAAAUAUUAGUCUAUAUUUUAUUUAUGUUUUUAUCUUUUACUGCAAAAUGAGCUGUGUGGCAAAAUUGCUCUCAGCAAAUUGCUUGCAGCAAAGAUGUUUAGGAGAAAAUCCCAGACAAGGCCCUAAGAAAGACACAUUUGCUGCUGCCAUUCAGCCCAAGCCUUCCAGACUGCAAUGAUGAUACUUAUGACUAAAUGACAGAAACUUUUUAAUUCUUUGCACCAAAAGGCCAGCACCUCUUCUGCCACACUUUCUGAAGGAUGGAUUUUGAAUUCUGUUUCUUUACAUGGAUCAACUACAAAUCAAAGACAUCUAUGGAUGUAUCUGAUUGUUCUUCCUUAUGUUGUUUCAACACAGUUCAUAGUCUUAUUCCAUGUGUUAGAAUAUAUUGACUGUUUCCAUUUUAAUGUUCAAAAUUAUCCAAAUUUGGUCAGCAAAAAGCCCCUUCAGGCAGGUCUGUGUUAUUUUGACAUGGGCACCUUAGAUUUGGAGCAUUCCCUUAAUUUAUGGCACAACAAGAAAUUUCAAGAACACCUAAAGCUUUUAUUGCCCCACAGCUAUAAUCAGCAUUUCUCCAAGAUUUACUAGUUCCUUUUAGAGAAAAAUAAAAUGGUGUUUAGAUGGCAGGAUCUAGACACUAGCAUAUUCAUUUCUUUAUUAGUGCCUCUAGUCCCUUGAAGUUGACAAAGCUAUGAAAUAUUUAUAUCUAUAUCUAUAUAUCUUGAUACCUUUAAUUCAAUCCAACAUUAUAGAAUUUUUCUUUUCCUAUUCUCAUUCCAUUAUUUUCUGUUUCUUCCCCCUCACUCUUUUGAUGCUUCAGCAUAGGCAGAAUUACUUACUUUCUCCAAAGAGGCAUAUCACAGCUCAGGGUUGGGUGGAGGAAUUACACUUCUGAUACCAUCAUCCCUGGUUGGGUGAUCAUCUCAGGCUUGCGCCCUCAAAGCCAAUCUUGACCCCUUAAUCAGGGUCCUCCACCUAUACUCGUUCUUAAGCUUCUCUUGAUUUAGUCAUUACAUCCAAUGUUUCCUGAUUCUGAUCCUUAUUUCCUCUUGGCUGGACCAUGUUAAUAGAGUCCCAUCUUGUAUUCUUAUCCACAUUGCCUUCAAUCGUAUCCACAUUCUAAGAUACAACUGCCAUGCAUUCCAUAGGCAAGUUGAUUUCAAGUCAGAAAAUACUCACUUUUCCAAAAGACUCAUGUUCACACUAAGUUUAGCGUUAAAUGUUUUUCUAGUCUAUUCCCACCCAGCUCCUUUUAGUACAUUCUAUGUGUCAGCUAAAAUUAAUGUCUUGCUUCUUAAGCAUUCUUUCUAUUUUCCUUGAGUUUAUCUUCUGUCUAGAUUUGUGCCAUAUAAUUUUUAAAAGUAUAAUUUCCCAUUCUAUUAUGCUAUUGCUCAGAAACUUUCCUUGACUUCUUAUAGCCUGACAAAACCAUGUAUCUGUGGAAGUCAUAUUCACCCUUAAGUUUCACUUCAAAUGCAAUUCUCUCCCAUCCACACCUACAGUCUUUACUGAAACCCAACUUGUAACUCACUAUGAACUGUAUUGAAUGCCUUUAGCAUUUCUUUAGCAUCAAAUUCAUAUGGUUCAAUAUUAAACUCACUUAUUAUGUCAUUUAGAAUUAGGCUUGCCAAAAUAUAACAUUGGAUUAAAAUGUUGAAGUUUGUUUUUCUCUCAUUAACAAUUCAAUGGGCAGUGCAGGGCUAGGAAUAGCUGCUUAUACCCUCAGAGACAUCACAAAUUCAUGCUACUUCCUUGUAGAACUCUCAUUCUUUUGUUAUAAGAUGGCAGCUAUAGAUUCAGUCCUUAUACAUGAAUUCUAGGUAACAGGAUGGAGGAAUAUGCAACAAAAUGAGGGAAAAGUAAUGCAUUUGAGAUAUAUUUUUUAAAUAAAUUCUGCAGAGGUAUUAUAUUCACACAAGAAAAUAUGCACAUUCUAAAUUAGAUAAAUUUUAACAAACACUGAUCAAUAACACAAUCAAGAUUUCUGUCAACCAGAAAGUUCCCUGUUACUCUUUUGCACUCAAUCAACCCAGCCUUGGCUCAUAUUAACAGACUAAGAGAAAAAAAAGGCAUCUGUGAAAAACCUAUAGCUAGCACUAUAUUUUAUAAGACUGUAUUCUUUCCCGUUACGGUCAGGAAAAAUGUAGGGAUGUUCACUAUCACCACUUUUAUUCAACAAUGCAAUAAAGAAAGAAAAAAUAAAUGAAAAGCAAACAUAGUGGAAAGUAAGAAAUGGCCUUUAUUUGCAGAAAACAUGAUCAUUUUAUAGAAAUCACUGGAAUUUAUUUUAAAAGCUUUUUGGAUGAAUAAUUGAGUUUAGAAGUUAAGAUAAAGGUCAAUAUACAGAAAUAAAUUGUAUUUCUACAAACUGUAUAUUGUUUUGUCAUUAUUUACUCAGAAAACUUUUAUGCUCCUUUCCUUCUACUCUUUUUUUGGGGGGGGAUUAUAUAUGUUAGAUGUUUGAUGUUGUCCCUCAGAUUACUGAGUCUCUUUAGUUUUUUCUUCUUUUUUUCUCUCAAUGCUUCAAUUUAGACAAUUUCUAUUGCUGUAUCUUAAGAC
This 2714-nucleotide long non-coding RNA is filed under the name Sus scrofa (pig). RNAcentral describes it as "lncRNA (ENSSSCG00000056137.1)". Lineage: Eukaryota; Metazoa; Chordata; Mammalia; Artiodactyla; Suidae. The record is from RNAcentral.